AUACUCUGGUUUCUCUUCAGAUCGUAUAAAUCUUUCGCCUUUUACUAAAGAUUUCCGUGGAGAGGAACAAUUCUGAGUCUAAACCCAAUUUUUUGAAGCCUUGCUUUUUUUUUUAGCAGGGCU
This 123-nucleotide small nuclear RNA is filed under the name Heterocephalus glaber (naked mole-rat). Its description in RNAcentral is "U5 spliceosomal RNA (ENSHGLG00100023771.2)". It matches the Rfam family "U5 spliceosomal RNA". From Rfam's summary of the family: U5 RNA is a component of both types of known spliceosome. The precise function of this molecule is unknown, though it is known that the 5' loop is required for splice site selection and p220 binding, and that both the 3' stem-loop and the Sm site are important for Sm protein binding and cap methylation. Lineage: Eukaryota; Metazoa; Chordata; Mammalia; Rodentia; Bathyergidae. The record is from Rfam by way of RNAcentral.